UAGGCAGCAUGUAUCACCUACCAUUAAAAUGAUGAGAAAAAUGGACGCGUGUGAAGCAGUUACAGCUGACAUUAUUAAAAUUAUUAAUGAAAGAAUAACGGGUGUAGAUGGAGAUUUCAGUGGUAAAAGGGAGAAAAGGCGACUUCGUACCUUAUUAGACCAUCAGUAUGCCCACUCAAUCUUUGGUUCAAGGGUAUCGCAAUUUAGUCAGAAAACCAGUAACUCCAGCCACCGCUCUGUCAUAUCAAGUUUAGAAGCCAAACGUGUAGAUGCUGCAGCAGAAGUAGCAGCCAAGCAAGCUGCAUAUGAUGUUCUGCUAGAAGAAUCAAAGCAAAGAGAAAAAAUAAAGUGGCUAGAAGCACAACAUAAAGCAGCUCUUGAUGUCGAGGUAAAGGAACUAGAGCGAAUUCAAGCACAAAGAGAUCUGAAAGCAGCUCAAGCUAAACUUGAAAUCUACAAUCAAGAAACUGAGAAGGAAAAGACUAAUUUGUCCAAAGAUUGUAGUAGUUCAAAUGGAUCAGAUUCAGAUUUGUCUCUAAGUAUGGAAAAGCAAGAAACAUUUCAAAAGGUGUGUCGUGAAACCAAAAAGGCAACAGUUGAAGCGUCAGCGACUGAUAUGCCUCAUCUUAUUCAAGCAUUUCAAGAUGGCAUGUCUAUUAGCAAGCUACCGGUGCCAGAACCUCCUGUUUUUACUGGUGACCCUAUUCAUUUUAUUGAGUUUAAACAAUCCUUUGUGGCACUUGUUGACAAGAAAACCAUUUCUUCUGCUGAUAAGUUGUUUUAUCUAAAGAAAUAUGUGAGUGGUCCUGCUGGAAAAGCUUUAGAAGGAACCUUCUUCAGAACAGAUGCUGAAGCCUAUCAAGAUGCAUGGAACAAACUAAACAAUCAUUAUGGCCAACCAUUCGUAAUACAAAAGGCCUUUAGAGAAAAGCUGGCAAGCUGGCCCAGAAUUCACCCAAAGGAUGCCAUUAGUCUUCAGGCCUUCUCUGACUUUUUAAAUGCAUGCCAAGGUCCCAUGCCACAUGUCAAAGGUCUCCAAAUUUUAAAUGAUUACCAAGAAAAUCAGAAACUUGUGUUGAAAUUACCUGAUUGGGCAAUCAGCAAUCUCUUUCUGAAAAUCAUGAGUAUCCUACUUUUAAAGAAUUUGUUGCAUUUGUGUCCACUGAAUCAGAAAUUGCUUGUAAUCCUGUUACAUCCUUUCACAUUCUUCGUGCUGCAGAACCUGUCACUGAGAAGAUAAAUCUGAAAGAGACCAAGAGAAACCGAGUUAGAGUUUUCCCCACUCAAUCGAACACAGAGAGUCGAAAAGUGAUCAAACCUGUAAACAAAAUGCUGUGUGUGCUUUGUCAGGAAGAUAAUCACCAACUUGACAGCUGUUGUAGUUUUCUCAGCAAACCAUUGGAGGAACGACA
Cyprinus carpio (common carp) is the source of this 1412-nucleotide long non-coding RNA. The record is from Ensembl. Lineage: Eukaryota; Metazoa; Chordata; Actinopteri; Cypriniformes; Cyprinidae.